Molecule: ribosomal RNA, 460 nt
Filed under: uncultured bacterium
Lineage: Bacteria
Description: partial 16S ribosomal RNA
Rfam family: Bacterial small subunit ribosomal RNA
Source: RNAcentral
CCUACGGGUGGCAGCAGUGAGGAAUAUUGGUCAAUGGGCGCGAGCCUGAACCAGCCAAGUAGCGUGAAGGAUGACUGCCCUACGGGUUGUAAACUUCUUUUAUAAAGGAAUAAAGUGAGGCACGUGUGCCUUUUUGUAUGUACUUUAUGAAUAAGGAUCGGCUAACUCCGUGCCAGCAGCCGCGGUAAUACGGAGGGUGCGAGCGUUAAUCGGAAUUAUUGGGUGUAAAGCGCUCGUAGGCGGGAUGUCAAGUCAAGGGUGAAAUCCCCGGGCUCAACGUGGGAACUGCCUUUGAAACUGGCGAACUGGAGUGUGUGAGAGGAAGGUGGAAUUCCAGGUGUAGGAGUGAAAUCCGUAGAUAUCAGGAGGAACAUCAGUGGCGAAGGCGACUAGCUGGAACGUGACUGACGCUGAGGAGCGAAAGCGUGGGUAGCAAACAGGAUUAGAUACCCGUGUAGUC